Molecule: small nucleolar RNA, 101 nt
Organism: Sorex araneus (European shrew)
Lineage: Eukaryota; Metazoa; Chordata; Mammalia; Eulipotyphla; Soricidae
Product: small nucleolar RNA U13
Exons: 1
Source: RefSeq, a predicted model, not a curated record
AUCCUUAUCCGAUUUAUAAGCAUAAUUGGAUGUUCACACAGUUGUAUGAGGUGUCCCUCCCUUAAAACUUGUUAUGUAUUUGGAGCAUUACCCAUCUGAUG